AGUCGAACGAUGAAGCCAGCUUGCUGGUGGAUUAGUGGCGAACGGGUGAGUAACACGUGGGUGAUCUGCCCCAAACUUUGGGAUAAGCCUGGGAAACUGGGUCUAAUACCGAAUAUGACCGAUACUCGCAUGGGUGUUGGUGGAAAGCUCCGGCGGUUUGGGAUGGGCCCGCGGCCUAUCAGCUUGUUGGUGGGGUAAUGGCCUACCAAGGCGACGACGGGUAGCCGGCCUGAGAGGGCGACCGGCCACACUGGGACUGAGACACGGCCCAGACUCCUACGGGAGGCAGCAGUGGGGAAUAUUGCACAAUGGGCGCAAGCCUGAUGCAGCGACGCCGCGUGAGGGAUGACGGCCUUCGGGUUGUAAACCUCUUUCACCAGGGACGAAGCGAAAGUGACGGUACCUGGAGAAGAAGCACCGGCCAACUACGUGCCAGCAGCCGCGGUAAUACGUAGGGUGCGAGCGUUGUCCGGAAUUACUGGGCGUAAAGAGCUCGUAGGCGGUUUGUCGCGUCGUUCGUGAAAACUUGGGGCUUAACUCCAAGCGUGCGGGCGAUACGGGCAGACUUGAGUACUACAGGGGAGACUGGAAUUCCUGGUGUAGCGGUGAAAUGCGCAGAUAUCAGGAGGAACACCGGUGGCGAAGGCGGGUCUCUGGGUAGUAACUGACGCUGAGGA
This 677-nucleotide ribosomal RNA is filed under the name Williamsia muralis. RNAcentral's name for it is "bacterial SSU rRNA". It matches the Rfam family "Bacterial small subunit ribosomal RNA", at positions 60 to 752 of the family's 1533-position model. Lineage: Bacteria; Bacillati; Actinomycetota; Actinomycetes; Mycobacteriales; Nocardiaceae. The record is from RNAcentral.